Molecule: ribosomal RNA, 301 nt
Filed under: uncultured bacterium
Lineage: Bacteria
Description: partial 16S ribosomal RNA
Rfam family: Bacterial small subunit ribosomal RNA
Source: RNAcentral
CAGUCGCCGCGGGAAUACGAAGGGUGCAAGCGUUAAUCGGAAUUACUGGGCGUAAAGCGUGCGUAGGCGGUGAGUUAAGUCUGCUGUGAAAUCCCCGGGCUCAACCUGGGAAUGGCAGUGGAUACUGGCUCGCUAGAGUGUGUCAGAGGAUGGUGGAAUUCCCGGUGUAGCGGUGAAAUGCGUAGAUAUGCGGAGGAACACCGAUGGCGAAGGCAAUCCCCUGGGCCUGUACUGACGCUCAUGCACGAAAGCGUGGGGAGCAAACAGGAUUAGAUACCCCCGUAGUCCCUGUCUCUUAUAC